CCCUGGUUGAUCCUGCCAGUAGUUAUAUGCUUGUCUCAAAGAUUAAGCCAUGCAUGUCUCAGUGCAAGCCGUAUUAAGGCGAUACCGCGAAUGGCUCAAUAUAUCAGUUUUGGUUCCUUAGAUCUUACUCAGUUACUUGGAUAACUGUGGUAAUUCUAGAGCUAAUACAUGCAAUCAGAACUCUGACCAGUGAUGGGAUGAGUGCUUUUAUUAGAUCAAAACCAAUCGACGGAGGGCCUCGCGUCCGAAGUCGUUAAUUUUGAUGAAUCUGGAUAACUUUUGCCGAUCGCAUGGUCCAGUACCGGCGACGCAUCUUUCAAAUGUCUGCCUUAUCAACUUUCGAUGGUAGUUUCUGCGACUACCAUGGUUGUCACGGGUAACGGGGAAUCAGGGUUCGAUUCCGGAGAGGGAGCCUGAGAAACGGCUACCACAUCCAAGGAAGGCAGCAGGCGCGCAAAUUACCCACUCCCGGCACGGGGAGGUAGUGACGAAAAAUAACGAUACGGGACUCUUACGAGGCCUCGUAAUCGGAAUGAGUACACUUUAAAUAUUUUAACGAGGAACAAUUGGAGGGCAAGUCUGGUGCCAGCAGCCGCGGUAAUUCCAGCUCCAAUAGCGUAUACUAAAAUUGUUGCGGUUAAAAAGCUCGUAGUUGCAUUUGUGCGCCGCGCUGUCGGUGCACCGCAUCCGCGGUGAUACUGACACGUCUGCGGAGCAUAUCGUCGGUGAGCCGUCGGUUAAACGUCGGUUCAAUAUCAAAAUCCUAUCGCGGUGCUCUUCAAUGAGUGUCGAGGUGGGCCGACAAUUUUACUUUGAACAAAUUAGAGUGCUCAAAGCGGGCUCAAAAUGCUGCUUGAAUAUUUCGUGCAUGGAAUAAUAGAAUAUGAUCUCGGUUCUAUUUUGUUGGUUUUCAGAACUCCGAGGUAAUGAUUAAUAGGGAUAACUGGGGGCAUUCGUAUUGCGACGUUAGAGGUGAAAUUCUUGGAUCGUCGCAAGACGAACAUCAGCGAAAGCAUUUGCCAAAGGUGUUUUCAUCAAUCAAGAACGAAAGUUAGAGGUUCGAAGGCGAUUAGAUACCGCCCUA
Molecule: ribosomal RNA, 1084 nt
Filed under: Piscirickettsia salmonis LF-89 = ATCC VR-1361
Lineage: Bacteria; Pseudomonadati; Pseudomonadota; Gammaproteobacteria; Thiotrichales; Piscirickettsiaceae
Description: SSU rRNA
Rfam family: Eukaryotic small subunit ribosomal RNA
Source: RNAcentral